CCUACGGGGGGCAGCAGUGAGGAAUAUUGGUCAAUGGACGAGAGUCUGAACCAGCCAAGUAGCGUGAAGGAUGACUGCCCUAUGGGUUGUAAACUUCUUUUAUAUGGGAAUAAAAUGUUCCACGUGUGGGAUUUUGUAUGUACCAUAUGAAUAAGGAUCGGCUAACUCCGUGCCAGCAGCCGCGGUAAUACGGAGGAUCCGAGCGUUAUCCGGAUUUAUUGGGUUUAAAGGGAGCGUAGGGGGCUUGUUAAGUCAGUUGUGAAAGUUUGCGGCUCAACCGUAAAAUUGCAGUUGAAACUGGCAGCCUUGAGUACGCUAGAGGUGGGCGGAAUUCGGGGUGUAGCGGUGAAAUGCUUAGAUAUCACGAAGAACUCCGAUUGCGAAGGCAGCUCACUGGACUGCAACUGACACUGAUGCUCGAAAGUGUGGGUAUCGAACAGGAUUAGAUACCCGGGUAGUC
Molecule: ribosomal RNA, 460 nt
Filed under: uncultured bacterium
Lineage: Bacteria
Description: partial 16S ribosomal RNA
Rfam family: Bacterial small subunit ribosomal RNA
Source: RNAcentral